UUAGAAUGUUCCGGCAGCGGUGCUGCUCCACCGGCUACACUUGCGGAGUUCAAGCUCGACGGUUAUGGUGGGAUGGAUUUCUUCGAUGUCAGUCUUGUGGAUGGGUAUAAUCUGCCCAUGCUGGUAGUGCCUCAGGGUGGCUCUGGGCAGAAUUGUUCAAGCACAGGCUGCGUGGUGGAUUUGAACGGCUCUUGUCCUUCGGAGCUCAAGGUUACAAGCUCAGCCGGCGACGGUGUGGCUUGUAAGAGGGGCUGUGAAGGUUUCAGGCCACCACCAAAUUGUUGUAAUGGCGCGGACUCUACACCU
RNAcentral lists this unclassified non-coding RNA (306 nucleotides) under Hevea brasiliensis (rubber tree). Lineage: Eukaryota; Viridiplantae; Streptophyta; Magnoliopsida; Malpighiales; Euphorbiaceae. The record is from RNAcentral.